Molecule: long non-coding RNA, 662 nt
Organism: Brassica napus (rape)
Lineage: Eukaryota; Viridiplantae; Streptophyta; Magnoliopsida; Brassicales; Brassicaceae
Exons: 2
Source: RefSeq, a predicted model, not a curated record
UUUAAUUAUUUUUUUGCGGAUCGUAUCGAAUAUCUGGUAAAACUACAAAAUUUUCCAGAUAUCCAGAAUACCAGAUAUCCAAAAGGUUACAUAUCGAAUUGAAUAAAAAAAUCGAUUAUACGUGUAGAACGGAGCGUAGAUAUCCUUAAAAUUUCUGAUAUCUGCUUCGUGCCUACACCUAAUCGGUAUCACUCGAUCAUGGACUCAUGGAGAUAAGAUCAGAUGAGAUAAUGACAGAGAAUACUAGUAGCAGAUCAACAUAAAUAAAACUUACACAAAUUGGAGUACACAAAGGAUACAGUGGGGAGGAACAUUCGCUUGCCGCAGAAUCGACCCGCAGUUAUAGCGAGAGCUCGACCCGGUAGAGUUAGGUGUACCUGGUGACCAGUUCUUAAUGAUCGGGUUGUCAAAAACAGCUUGCUAAGCACACCCAGACAGUGAACUUCAUGGACAGACAGCUACACUCGAGACCAAGACCACAAACCCCCACCAAGUCGAUCUUUAUUGGAGAAGGAACAACCAUGAGCCUAAACCAGAGAGACAGAGCCAACUACUCCACCAUUAAAAAAUAUAUAACUAUUAAAAAAAUAUUGAUUGUUUUAAACAUAACUUUUGCUUUUUAUAUCGUGUACUAAAUACAUUUUAGAAAAGUUGGACAACUA